UAAUAAUCCUGAAUGAUUUAAAUAUUGAA
Molecule: non-coding RNA, 29 nt
Filed under: Mus musculus (house mouse)
Lineage: Eukaryota; Metazoa; Chordata; Mammalia; Rodentia; Muridae
Source: RNAcentral